GACGAACGCUGGCGGCGUGCUUAACACAUGCAAGUCGAACGGAAAGGCCUGCUUUCCCUUGUGGAUUGCGGGUACUCGAGUGGCGAACGGGUGAGUAACACGUGAGUGAUCUGCCCCCAACUUGUGUAUAAGCCUGGGAAACUGGGUCUAAUUCCCGAUAGGACUGCAGUGGGGUGCCUGUGGUUGAAAACGAUGUUCUAGUGGUUGGGGAUGAGCUCGCGGCCUAUCAGCUUGUGGGUGGGGUAAUGCCGUACCAAUGCGGCGAAGGGUAGCCGGCCUGGGAGGGUGGGCGGCCACGGUGGGACGGCGAUCCGGCCCAGACUCCUGCGACAGGCAGCAGUGGGGAAUAUGGCAGAAUGGGCGGAAGCCUGAUGCAGGGACGCCGCGUGGGGGAUGACGGCCUUCGGGUUGUAAACUCCUUUCGACCGCGAGGAAGCCACCUGGUUGGAAGGGUGGUGACGGUAGUGGUAGAAGAAGCCCCGCCUACCUCCGU
RNAcentral lists this ribosomal RNA (493 nucleotides) under uncultured bacterium. Its description in RNAcentral is "partial 16S ribosomal RNA". It matches the Rfam family "Bacterial small subunit ribosomal RNA", at positions 28 to 506 of the family's 1533-position model. The record is from RNAcentral.